GAAGGAAUAAGAAGAUUGCAUUAUAAACGAGGACAAAAUUUGGGAAAUAGAUCUCAGCCAUCCAUCACCAUGCAGCACAUUCUGGCCAUUAGAUAAAUUUAAUUCGAGGGGCAAAAUCACCUUUUCGUCAUCAUUUUGAAAUCUAGUCAUUGGAUCAAACUCGUACUCGACUUGGGUUGUUGAUUCCUUUCUUUUCAGCUUUUCUUGCGUGUGGACCGUUGAUCUCUGCCACAGACGAUCGCGACCAUGCAAGGUGCACGUCUCUACUUCUGGUGAAUAGAUUCUGAC
This 288-nucleotide long non-coding RNA is filed under the name Carica papaya (papaya). RNAcentral's name for it is "long non-coding RNA (CPAP_LNC005893)". Lineage: Eukaryota; Viridiplantae; Streptophyta; Magnoliopsida; Brassicales; Caricaceae. The record is from RNAcentral.